AUGUGCGCGAGUCAUUGGGACACGAUUAAACCUAAAGGCGAAAUGAAAGUGAAGGUCUGCCUUUUAGCGCAGACCGAGGGAGGAUGGGUGGUUUGCUCUCUGAAAUAUGUCUGUGGCCACCCCGCACUCCCGGGGCGUCUCGUUCUCAUUGCGAGGAGAGGCGCACCAAGAGCGUACACGCUGGGACCCGAAAGAUGGUGAACUAUGCCUGGUCAGGACGAAGUCAGGGGAAACCCUGAUGGAGGUCCGUAGCGAUUCUGACGUGCAAAUCGAUCGUCGGAACUGGGUAUAGGGGCGAAAGACUAAUCGAACCAUCUAGUAGCUGGUUCCCUCCGAAGUUUCCCUCAGGAUAGCUGGCGCUCGUUGCGUACGAGUUUCAUCCGGUAAAGCGAAUGAUUAGAGGCAUUGGGGUCGAAACGACUUCAACCUAUUCUCAAACUUUAAAUGGGUGAGAUCUCCGGCUUGCUCGAACUCAUGAAGCCGCGAGACUCGAAUCAGAGUGCCAAGUGGGCCAUUUUUGGUAAGCAGAACUGGCGCUGUGGGAUGAACCAAACGUCGAGUUAAAGCGCCUAAAUCGACGCUUAUGGGAUACCAUGAAAGGCGUUGGUAACUUAAGACAGCAGGA
Molecule: ribosomal RNA, 625 nt
Filed under: Novofoudrasia regularis
Lineage: Eukaryota; Metazoa; Arthropoda; Insecta; Coleoptera; Chrysomelidae
Description: eukaryotic LSU rRNA
Rfam family: Eukaryotic large subunit ribosomal RNA
Source: RNAcentral